Molecule: ribosomal RNA, 481 nt
Filed under: Massilia sp.
Lineage: Bacteria; Pseudomonadati; Pseudomonadota; Betaproteobacteria; Burkholderiales; Oxalobacteraceae
Description: bacterial SSU rRNA
Rfam family: Bacterial small subunit ribosomal RNA
Source: RNAcentral
UCCAGAUUGAACGCUGCCGGCAUGCUUUACACAUGCAAGUCGAACGGCAGCGCGGGGCAACCUGGCGGCGAGUGGCGAACGGGUGAGUAAUACAUCGGAACGUACCCAGAAGUGGGGGAUAACGUAGCGAAAGUUACGCUAAUACCGCAUACGUUCUACGGAAGAAAGUGGGGGACCUUCGGGCCUCAUGCUUUUGGAGCGGCCGAUGUCUGAUUAGCUAGUUGGUGAGGUAAAGGCUCACCAAGGCGACGAUCAGUAGCUGGUCUGAGAGGACGACCAGCCACACUGGGACUGAGACACGGCCCAGACUCCUACGGGAGGCAGCAGUGGGGAAUUUUGGACAAUGGGCGCAAGCCUGAUCCAGCAAUGCCGCGUGAGUGAAGAAGGCCUUCGGGUUGUAAAGCUCUUUUGUCACGGGAAGAAACGGCUGCUAGCUAAUAUCCUGCGGCUAAUGACGGUACCGAAGAAAGACCCGAUCCCC